GGCGGUUCGCCGCCCGCGACUCGGCGAGAAGUCCAUUGAACCUUAUCAUUUAGAGGAAGGAGAAGUCGUAACAAGGUUUCCGUAGGUGAACCUGCGGAAGGAUCAUUG
Molecule: ribosomal RNA, 108 nt
Filed under: Maxillaria magliana
Lineage: Eukaryota; Viridiplantae; Streptophyta; Magnoliopsida; Asparagales; Orchidaceae
Also listed under: 1 other name
Description: partial 18S ribosomal RNA
Rfam family: Eukaryotic small subunit ribosomal RNA
Source: RNAcentral